AGAGGGGGACCUUCGGGCCUCUUGCCAUCAGAUGUGCCCAGAUGGGAUUAGCUAGUAGGUGGGGUAACGGCUCACCUAGGCGACGAUCCCUAGCUGGUCUGAGAGGAUGACCAGCCACACUGGAACUGAGACACGGUCCAGACUCCUACGGGAGGCAGCAGUGGGGAAUAUUGCACAAUGGGCGCAAGCCUGAUGCAGCCAUGCCGCGUGUAUGAAGAAGGCCUUCGGGUUGUAAAGUACUUUCAGCGGGGAGGAAGGCGUUGAGGUUAAUAACCUCAGCGAUUGACGUUACCCGCAGAAGAAGCACCGGCUAACUCCGUGCCAGCAGCCGCGGUAAUACGGAGGGUGCAAGCGUUAAUCGGAAUUACUGGGCGUAAAGCGCACGCAGGCGGUCUGUCAAGUCGGAUGUGAAAUCCCCGGGCUCAACCUGGGAACUGCAUUCGAAACUGGCAGGCUAGAGUCUUGUAGAGGGGGGUAGAAUUCCAGGUGUAGCGGUGAAAUGCGUAGAGAUCUGNGAGGAAUACCGGUGGCGAAGGCGGCCCCCUGGACAAAGACUGACGCUCAGGUGCGAAAGCGUGGGGAGCAAACAGNGAUUAGAUACCCUGGUAGCCCACGCCGUAAACGAUGUCGACCUGGAGGUUGUGCCCUUGAGGCGUGGCUUCCGGAGCUAACGCGUUAAGUCGACCGNCCUGGGGAGUACGGCCGCAAGGUUAAAACUCAAAUGAAUUGACGGGGGCCCGCACAAGCGGUGGAGCAUGUGGUUUAAUUCGAUGCAACGCGAAGAACCUUACCUACUCUUGACAUCCAGAGAACUUUCCAGAGAUGGAUUGGUGCCUUCGGGAACUCUGAGACAGGUGCUGCAUGGCUGUCGUCAGCUCGUGUUGUGAAAUGUUGGGUUAAGUCCCGCAACGAGCGCAACCCUUAUCCUUUGUUGCCAGCGGUUAGGCCGGGAACUCAAAGGAGACUGCCAGUGAUAAACUGGAGGAAGGUGGGGAUGACGUCAAAUCAUCAUGGCCCUUACGAGUAGGGCUACACACGUGCUACAAUGGCGCAUACAAAGAGAAGCGACCUCGCGAGAGCAAGCGGACCUCAUAAAGUGCGUCGUAGUCCGGAUUGGAGUCUGCAACUCGACUCCAUGAAGUCGGAAUCGCUAGUAAUCGUAGAUCAGAAUGCUACGGUGAAUACGUUCCCGGGCCUUGUACACACCGCCCGUCACACCAUGGGAGUGGGUUGC
Molecule: ribosomal RNA, 1234 nt
Filed under: uncultured Enterobacter sp.
Lineage: Bacteria; Pseudomonadati; Pseudomonadota; Gammaproteobacteria; Enterobacterales; Enterobacteriaceae
Description: bacterial SSU rRNA
Rfam family: Bacterial small subunit ribosomal RNA
Source: RNAcentral